Molecule: ribosomal RNA, 799 nt
Filed under: uncultured bacterium
Lineage: Bacteria
Description: bacterial SSU rRNA
Rfam family: Bacterial small subunit ribosomal RNA
Source: RNAcentral
AGAGUUUGAUCAUGGCUCAGAUUGAACGCUGGCGGCAGGCUUAACACAUGCAAGUCGAACGGUAACAGAAAGUAGCUUGCUACUUUGCUGACGAGUGGCGGACGGGUGAGUAAUGCUUGGGAAUAUGCCUUAUGGUGGGGGACAACAGUUGGAAACGACUGCUAAUACCGCAUAACAUCUCCGGAUCAAAGUGGGGGACCUUCGGGCCUCACGCCAUAAGAGUAGCCCAAGUGGGAUUAGCUAGUUGGUAAGGUAAUGGCUUACCAAGGCGACGAUCCCUAGUUGGUCUUAGAGGAUGACCAGCCACACUGGAACUGAGACACGGUCCAGACUCCUACGGGAGGCAGCAGUGGGGAAUAUUGCACAAUGGGCGCAAGCCUGAUGCAGCCAUGCCGCGUGUGUGAAGAAGGCUUUCGGGUUGUAAAGCACUUUCAGCGAGGAGGAAAGGGUAUUGCUUAAUAGGUAAUAUCUGUGACGUUACUCGCAGAAGAAGCACCGGCUAACUCCGUGCCAGCAGCCGCGGUAAUACGGAGGGUGCGAGCGUUAAUCGGAAUUACUGGGCGUAAAGCGCGCGUAGGUGGUUAAUUAAGUCAGAUGUGAAAUCCCAGGGCUCAACCUUGGAACUGCAUUUGAAACUGGUUAACUAGAGUUUUGUAGAGGGUGGUAGAAUUUCAGGUGUAGCGGUGAAAUGCGUAGAGAUCUGAAGGAAUACCAGUGGCGAAGGCGGCCACCUGGACAAAGACUGACACUGAGGCGCGAAGGCGUGGGGAGCAAACGGGAUUAGAUACCCCGGUAGUCC